UACGAGGGGGGCUAGCGUUGUUCGGAAUUACUGGGCGUAAAGCGCACGUAGGCGGACUUGUAAGUCAGGGGUGAAAUCCCGGGGCUCAACCUCGGAACUGCCUUUGAUACUGCAAGUCUCGAGUCCGGAAGAGGUGAGUGGAAUUCCUAGUGUAGAGGUGAAAUUCGUAGAUAUUAGGAAGAACACCAGUGGCGAAGGCGGCUCACUGGUCCGGUACUGACGCUGAGGUGCGAAAGCGUGGGGAGCAAACAGG
This 253-nucleotide ribosomal RNA is filed under the name uncultured bacterium. Its description in RNAcentral is "partial 16S ribosomal RNA". It matches the Rfam family "Bacterial small subunit ribosomal RNA", at positions 524 to 776 of the family's 1533-position model. The record is from RNAcentral.